CAAGGAAUUUUCCCCAAUGGGCGCAAGCCUGAGGGAGCAACGCCGCGUGCAGGAUGACGGCCUUCGGGUUGUAAACUGCUUUUGCUGGGGACGAUAAUGACGGUACCCGGCGAAUAAGCCCCGGCUAACUCCGUGCCAGCAGCCGCGGUAAGACGGAGGGGGCAAGCGUUGUCCGGAAUCACUGGGCGUAAAGCGCACGUAGGCGGGACGGUGCGUCGGUGCUGAAAGCGCCAGGCUUAACCUGGCGAGGCGUGCCGAUACGACCGACCUCGAGGCAGACAGAGGGUGGCGGAAUUCCGGGUGUAGUGGUGAAAUGCGUAGAGAUCCGGAGGAACGCCGGUGGCGCAAGCGGCCACCUGGGUCUGACCUGACGCUGAGGUGCGAAAGCGUGGGGAGCAAACCGG
RNAcentral lists this ribosomal RNA (404 nucleotides) under uncultured bacterium. RNAcentral's name for it is "bacterial SSU rRNA". It matches the Rfam family "Bacterial small subunit ribosomal RNA", at positions 355 to 776 of the family's 1533-position model. The record is from RNAcentral.